This 268-nucleotide ribosomal RNA is filed under the name uncultured bacterium. Its description in RNAcentral is "partial 16S ribosomal RNA". It matches the Rfam family "Bacterial small subunit ribosomal RNA", at positions 524 to 791 of the family's 1533-position model. The record is from RNAcentral.
GACGAACCGUGCGAACGUUGUUCGGAAUCACUGGGCUUAAAGGGCGCGUAGGCGGGCCAGCCAGUCCGGGGUGAAAUCUUUCGGCUCAACCGGAAAAGGGCCUCGGAGACGACUGGUCUAGAGGGAGAUAGGGGUCUGCGGAACUUCCGGUGGAGCGGUGAAAUGCGUUGAUAUCGGAAGGAACGCCGGUGGCGAAAGCGGCGGACUGGAUCUCUUCUGACGCUGAGGCGCGAAAGCUAGGGGAGCGAACGGGAUUAGAAACCCGUGU